RNAcentral lists this ribosomal RNA (557 nucleotides) under uncultured bacterium. RNAcentral's name for it is "bacterial SSU rRNA". It matches the Rfam family "Bacterial small subunit ribosomal RNA", at positions 112 to 704 of the family's 1533-position model. The record is from RNAcentral.
AACGCGUGGGAAUCUACCCAUCUCUACGGAAUAACUCAGGGAAACUUGUGCUAAUACCGUAUACGCCCUUCGGGGGAAAGAUUUAUCGGAGAUGGAUGAGCCCGCGUUGGAUUAGCUAGUUGGUGGGGUAAAGGCCUACCAAGGCGACGAUCCAUAGCUGGUCUGAGAGGAUGAUCAGCCACAUUGGGACUGAGACACGGCCCAAACUCCUACGGGAGGCAGCAGUGGGGAAUAUUGGACAAUGGGCGCAAGCCUGAUCCAGCCAUGCCGCGUGAGUGAUGAAGGCCCUAGGGUUGUAAAGCUCUUUCACCGGUGAAGAUAAUGACGGUAACCGGAGAAGAAGCCCCGGCUAACUUCGUGCCAGCAGCCGCGGUAAUACGAAGGGGGCUAGCGUUGUUCGGAAUUACUGGGCGUAAAGCGCACGUAGGCGGGUAUUUAAGUCAGGGGUGAAAUCCCAGAGCUCAACUCUGGAACUGCCUUUGAUACUGGGUACCUAGAGUAUGGAAGAGGUGAGUGGAAUUCCGAGUGUAGAGGUGAAAUUCGUAGAUAUUCGGAGG